This 808-nucleotide ribosomal RNA is filed under the name Salmonella enterica subsp. enterica serovar Infantis. RNAcentral's name for it is "partial 23S ribosomal RNA". It matches the Rfam family "Bacterial large subunit ribosomal RNA", at positions 566 to 1231 of the family's 2925-position model. The record is from RNAcentral. Lineage: Bacteria; Pseudomonadati; Pseudomonadota; Gammaproteobacteria; Enterobacterales; Enterobacteriaceae.
CUCUGGUGUUGAAGGCCCUGCAAAGCAGCAUCGCGGUGGCGGAGCGUCGUUUGCGACGCCCAACACACAAAACAAGCGGUGAGUGCUUUGGGGUGGGGUGACUGCGUACCUUUUGUAUAAUGGGUCAGCGACUUAUAUUCUGUAGCAAGGUUAACCGAAUAGGGGAGCCGGAGGGAAACCGAGUCUUAAUUGGGCGUUAAGUUGCAGGGUAUAGACCCGAAACCCGGUGAUCUAGCCAUGGGCAGGUUGAAGGUUGGGUAACACUAACUGGAGGACCGAACCGACUAAUGUUGAAAAAUUAGCGGAUGACCUGUGGCUGGGGGUGAAAGGCCAAUCAAACCGGGAGAUAGCUGGUUCUCCCCGAAAGCUAUUUAGGUAGCGCCUCGUGAAUUCAUCUCCGGGGGUAGAGCACUGUUUCGGCUAGGGGGCCAUCCCGGCUUACCAACCCGAUGCAAACUGCGAAUACCGGAGAAUGUUAUCACGGGAGACACACGGCGGGUGCUAACGUCCGUCGUGAAGAGGGAAACAACCCAGACCGCCAGCUAAGGUCCCAAAGUCAUGGUUAAGUGGGAAACGAUGUGGGAAGGCCCAGACAGCCAGGAUGUUGGCUUAGAAGCAGCCAUCAUUUAAAGAAAGCGUAAUAGCUCACUGGUCGAGUCGGCCUGCGCGGAAGAUGUAACGGGGCUAAACCAUGCACCGAAGCUGCGGCAGCGAACGUAUCACUUAAAGCGAUUCAGCGGGUUACGAUUGACGGAGCGAAGCGACGUCAAAGCGUAUACAAAGUCGAGUCGGUUUAAGGAUACGUUCG